This 395-nucleotide ribosomal RNA is filed under the name Mantidactylus melanopleura. RNAcentral's name for it is "partial 16S ribosomal RNA". It matches the Rfam family "Bacterial large subunit ribosomal RNA", at positions 2039 to 2597 of the family's 2925-position model. The record is from RNAcentral. Lineage: Eukaryota; Metazoa; Chordata; Amphibia; Anura; Mantellidae.
AAAUUAAUCUCCCCGUGAAGAAGCGGGGAUACUCAUAUAAGACGAGAAGACCCCAUGGAGCUUCAAACCCAACUACACCCCUAGCUCUUAUAGCCCCACAACCCCCCCUAGGCGCCGUGUGCUUGGUUUUAGGUUGGGGCGACCGCGGAGUACAAUAAAACCUCCACAAUGAAUGGGAACACCCCCUUAUCUGAGGGCCACACCCCCUAAGAAUUAGAACACUAACAUAAAAUGAUCCAUUACUUGAUCAAUGAACCAAGUUACCCUGGGGAUAACAGCGCAAUCCAUUUCAAGAGCCCCUAUCGACAAAUGGGUUUACGACCUCGAUGUUGGAUCAGGGUACCCCAGUGGUGCAGCAGCUACUAACGGUUCGUUUGUUCAACGAUUAAAACCCU